UGGGGAAUCUUGCACAAUGGGGGCAACCCUGAUGCAGCGACGCCGCGUGAGCGAUGAAGGUUUUCGAAUCGUAAAGCUCUGUCCUAUGGGAAGAUAAUGACGGUACCAUAGGAGGAAGCCCCGGCUAACUACGUGCCAGCAGCCGCGGUAAUACGUAGGGGGCGAGCGUUGUCCGGAAUUACUGGGCGUAAAGGGUUCGCAGGCGGCAUGGCAAGUCCGAUGUAAAAGGCGAAGGCUCAACCUUCGUAAGCAUCGGAAACUGUCAAGCUUGAGUGAAGGAGAGGCAAGUGGAAUUCCUAGUGUAGCGGUGGAAUGCGUAGAUAUUAGGAGGAAUACCGGUGGCGAAGGCGACUUGCUGGACUGCAACUGACGCUGAGGAACGAAAGCGUGGGUAGCAAACAGG
Molecule: ribosomal RNA, 403 nt
Filed under: Verrucomicrobiota bacterium
Lineage: Bacteria; Pseudomonadati; Verrucomicrobiota
Description: Verrucomicrobia bacterium partial 16S ribosomal RNA
Rfam family: Bacterial small subunit ribosomal RNA
Source: RNAcentral